GAUGAACGCUGGCGGCGUGCCUAAUACAUGCAAGUCGAGCGAACAGACGAGGAGCUUGCUCCUCUGACGUUAGCGGCGGACGGGUGAGUAACACGUGGAUAACCUACCUAUAAGACUGGGAUAACUUCGGGAAACCGGAGCUAAUACCGGAUAAUAUAUUGAACCGCAUGGGUCAAUAGUGAAAGACGGUUUUGCUGUCACGUAUAGAUGGAUCGGCGCCGCAUUAGCUAGUUGGUAAGGUAACGGCUUACCAAGGCGACGAUGCGUAGCCGACCUGAGAGGGGGAUCGGCCGCCUGGGAACUGGGACACGGUCCAGACUCCUACGGGAGGCAGCAGUAGGGAAUCUUCCGCAAUGGGCGAAAGCAUGACGGAGCAACGCCGAGUGAGUGAUGAAGGUCUUCGGAUCGUAAAACUCUGUUAUUAGGGAAGAACAAAUGUGUAAGUAACUAUGCACGUAUUGACGGUACCUAAUAAGAAAGCCACGGCUAACUACGUG
RNAcentral lists this ribosomal RNA (497 nucleotides) under uncultured bacterium. RNAcentral describes it as "partial 16S ribosomal RNA". It matches the Rfam family "Bacterial small subunit ribosomal RNA", at positions 28 to 507 of the family's 1533-position model. The record is from RNAcentral.